AGUGAACGCUGGCGGCGUGCCUAAUACAUGCAAGUCGAACGGAGUGGAGCACGGGUGAGUAAUAUAUAGCUAAUAUGCCCUUUGCUGGCGGACAACAGUAAGAAAUGACUGCUAAUACUCCAUAGCAAGGGAUGAGACUAUAUCGUAUCAGCAAUUCGGUGGGGUAACGGCCUACCGAGGCGAUGACGCGUCACUGGUCUGCGAGGAUGAUCAGGCACAUUGGAACUGAGACACGGUCCGAACUCCUACGGGAGGCAGCAGUAGGGAAUAUGGCGCAAUGGGGGAAACCCUGACGCAGCAACGCCGCGUGGAGGAUGACACUUUUCGGAGCGUAAACUCCUUUUGUUAGGGAAGCGGUACCUAACGAAUAAGCACCGGCUAACUCCGUGCCAGCCGCCGCGGUAAUUC
RNAcentral lists this ribosomal RNA (408 nucleotides) under uncultured bacterium. RNAcentral describes it as "partial 16S ribosomal RNA". It matches the Rfam family "Bacterial small subunit ribosomal RNA", at positions 29 to 526 of the family's 1533-position model. The record is from RNAcentral.